Molecule: ribosomal RNA, 253 nt
Filed under: uncultured bacterium
Lineage: Bacteria
Description: partial 16S ribosomal RNA
Rfam family: Bacterial small subunit ribosomal RNA
Source: RNAcentral
UACGGAGGAUGCAAGCGUUAUCCGGAUUUAUUGGGCGUAAAGCGUCCGCAGGUGGUUAUGUAAGUCUGCUGUCAAAGCGCGAGGCUUAACUUCGUAAAGGCAGUGGAAACUGUGUGACUAGAGGAUGGUAGGGGUAGCGGGAAUUCCCAGUGUAGCAGUGAAAUGCGUAGAGAUGUGGAGGAACACCGAUGGCGAAGGCAGCCCCCUGGGUCAAGAUUGACGCUCAUGCACGAAAGCGUGGGGAGCAAACAGG